This 253-nucleotide ribosomal RNA is filed under the name uncultured Actinomycetes bacterium. RNAcentral's name for it is "uncultured actinobacterium partial 16S ribosomal RNA". It matches the Rfam family "Bacterial small subunit ribosomal RNA", at positions 524 to 776 of the family's 1533-position model. Lineage: Bacteria; Bacillati; Actinomycetota; Actinomycetes. The record is from RNAcentral.
UACGUAGGGGGCAAGCGUUGUCCGGAUUUAUUGGGCGUAAAGAGCGUGUAGGCGGCUUGGCAAGUCCGCUGUGAAAACUCGAGGCUCAACUUCGAGACGUCGGUGGAAACUGCCUCGCUAGAGUCCGGAAGAGGAGAGUGGAAUUCCUGGUGUAGCGGUGAAAUGCGCAGAUAUCAGGAAGAACACCCGUGGCUAAGGCGGCUCUCUAGUACGGUACUGACGCUGAGACGCGAAAGCGUGGGGAGCGAACAGG